GUGAGGAAUUUUCCGCAAUGUGCGAAAGCCUGACGGAGCAAUGCCGCGUGAAGGAUGAAGGCCUAUGGGUUGUAAACUUCUUUUCUCAGAAAAGAAUUAUGACGGUAUCUGAGGAAUAAGCAUCGGCUAACUCUGUGCCAGCAGCCGCGGUAAGACAGAGGAUGCAAGCGUUAUCCGGAAUGAUUGGGCGUAAAGCGUCUGUAGGUUGUUUAAAAAGUAUUCUGUCAAAGAUUAGGGCUUAACCCUAGAUAGGCAGAAUAAACUUUUAAGCUAGAGUGUGGUAGAGGCAGAGGGAAUUCCCGGUGGAGCGGUGAAAUGCGUAGAUAUCGGGAGGAACACCAAAGGCGAAGGCACUCUGCUGGGCCAAUACUAACACUGAGAGACGAAAGCGAGGGGAGCAAAUGGGAUUAGAUACCCUAGUAGUCC
This 426-nucleotide ribosomal RNA is filed under the name uncultured bacterium. RNAcentral describes it as "partial 16S ribosomal RNA". It matches the Rfam family "Bacterial small subunit ribosomal RNA", at positions 354 to 796 of the family's 1533-position model. The record is from RNAcentral.